AGAGUUUGAUCCUGGCUCAGGAUGAACGCUAGCGACGGGCUUAACACAUGCAAGUCGAGGGGCAGCGGGGGUGAUGGCUUGCCAUCACCUGCCGGCGACCGGCGCACGGGUGAGUAACACGUAUGCAACCUGCCCGCCACAGGGGGAUAAGCGGAAGAAAUUCCGUCUAAUACCGCGUGACGCGGCGUCGGGGCAUCCCGGUGCCGCCAAAGGGAUUACCGGUGGCGGAUGGGCAUGCGGCGCAUUAGCUAGUCGGCGGGGUAACGGCCCACCGAGGCGACGAUGCGUAGGGGUUCUGAGAGGAAGGUCCCCCACACUGGUACUGAGACACGGACCAGACUCCUACGGGAGGCAGCAGUGAGGAAUAUUGGUCAAUGGGCGGGAGCCUGAACCAGCCAAGUCGCGUGAGGGAUGACGGUCCUACGGAUUGUAAACCUCUUUUGCCGGGGAGCAAGCGUGCGUUCGUGAACGCGCGUCGAGAGUACCCGGAGAAAAAGCAUCGGCUAACUCCGUGCCAGCAGCCGCGGUAAUACGGAGGAUGCGAGCGUUAUCCGGAUUUAUUGGGUUUAAAGGGUGCGUAGGCGGGAUGCCAAGUCAGCGGUAAAAAUGCGGUGCUCAACGCCGUCGAGCCGUUGAAACUGGCGUUCUUGAGUGGGCGAGAAGUAUGCGGAAUGCGUGGUGUAGCGGUGAAAUGCAUAGAUAUCACGCAGAACUCCGAUUGCGAAGGCAGCAUACCGGCGCCCUACUGACGCUGAGGCACGAAAGCGUGGGUAUCGAACAGGAUUAGAUACCCUGGUAGUCCACGCAGUAAACGACGAAUGUAAACUGUCCGGUGCGAGUGAGCGCUGGGCGGUACAGCGAAAGCGUUAAGCAUUCCACCUGGGGAGUACGCCCGGCAACGGUGAAACUCAAAAGGAAUUGACGGGGGCCCGCACAAGCGGAGGAACAUGUGGUUUAAUUCGAUGAUACGCGAGGAACCUUACCCGGGCUCAAACGCAGGAUGACGGGUCCCGAAAGGGGCCUUUCUUCGGACAUUCUGCGAGGUGCUGCAUGGUUGUCGUCAGCUCGUGCCGUGAGGUGUCGGCUUAAGUGCCAUAACGAGCGCAACCCCUGUCCACAGUUGCCAGCAGGUAAAGCUGGGGACUCUGUGGAGACUGCCGGCGCAAGCUGCGAGGAAGGCGGGGAUGACGUCAAAUCAGCACGGCCCUUACGUCCGGGGCGACACACGUGUUACAAUGGCAGGUACAGCGGGAUGCCACGGGGCGACCCGGCGCUGAACCCGAAAACCUGUCUCAGUUCGGAUUGGAGUCUGCAACCCGACUCCAUGAAGCUGGAUUCGCUAGUAAUCGCGCAUCAGCCACGGCGCGGUGAAUACGUUCCCGGGCCUUGCACUCACCGCCCGUCA
RNAcentral lists this ribosomal RNA (1405 nucleotides) under uncultured bacterium. Its description in RNAcentral is "16S ribosomal RNA". It matches the Rfam family "Bacterial small subunit ribosomal RNA". The record is from RNAcentral.